This 413-nucleotide ribosomal RNA is filed under the name Macrostylis sp. ML08. RNAcentral describes it as "partial 16S ribosomal RNA". It matches the Rfam family "Archaeal large subunit ribosomal RNA", at positions 2032 to 2676 of the family's 2987-position model. Lineage: Eukaryota; Metazoa; Arthropoda; Malacostraca; Isopoda; Macrostylidae. The record is from RNAcentral.
GGUAGCAUAAUCAUUUGUCUUUUAAUAAGAGGCUGGGAUGAAUGAGCCAACAAUACUAAGACUUUUAAACCUAGUAAUAAAAAUUAAUAUCUACGUAAAAAAGCGUAGCUUCCUAGAAAGACGAUAAGACCCUAUAAAACUUACAUCACUAACACAAUAAAUAUUUAGAAUUUCUCUUUAAACUAAGUGAUUAAGCUGGGGCGGCAACUAAUAGACACUCGAAAAUAAAACAUAAAUUUAUGAAAAGCUAGAUCUUUUUAAAGAAUAGAAAAAGUUACUUUAGGGAUAACAGCGUAAUUUCUCCUAGUUAUCUUUAUUAUGAGAAGACUUACGACCUCGAUGUUGAAUUGAGGAGCCAGCCUUAGAAAUAAGAGAUGGAGGUCUGUUCGACCUUUAAUCCCUCACACGAUUUG